UGACUUGAAUUAUUUUCUUGG
Molecule: non-coding RNA, 21 nt
Filed under: Caenorhabditis elegans
Lineage: Eukaryota; Metazoa; Nematoda; Chromadorea; Rhabditida; Rhabditidae
Source: RNAcentral